UACAGAGACCUCAAGCGUUAUCCGGAUUUAUUGGGCGUAAAGGGUCCGCAGGUGGCUUUGCGCGUCAUUGGUUAAAUCUGAAGGCUCAACCUUCAGGCUGCUGGUGAUACGGCAAAGCUCGAGCAUGGGAGAGGUAAGCGGAAUUACAGGUGUAGCGGUAAAAUGCGUUAAUAUCUGUAGGAACACCAAAUGCGAAGGCAGCUUACUGGAACAUUGCUGACACUCAGGGACGAAAGCGUGGGGAGCGAAAGGG
Molecule: unclassified non-coding RNA, 253 nt
Filed under: Patescibacteria group bacterium
Lineage: Bacteria
Description: contains 16S-23S intergenic spacer region
Rfam family: Bacterial small subunit ribosomal RNA
Source: RNAcentral